This 327-nucleotide ribosomal RNA is filed under the name uncultured bacterium. Its description in RNAcentral is "bacterial SSU rRNA". It matches the Rfam family "Bacterial small subunit ribosomal RNA", at positions 28 to 334 of the family's 1533-position model. The record is from RNAcentral.
GAUGAACGCUGGCGGCGUGCUUAACACAUGCAAGUCGAACGAAGAAACCUUGAAUGAGAGCUUCGGCAGGAUUUCUUGGUAUCUUAGUGGCGGACGGGUGAGUAACGUGUGGGCAACCUGCCCUAUACUGGGGAAUAAUCACUGGAAACGGUGACUAAUACCGCAUGUCAUCACCGAGGGGCAUCCCUUGGUGAAAAAAGGAGUAAUUCGGUAUAGGAUGGGCCCGCAUCUGAUUAGCUAGUUGGUGAGAUAACAGCCCACCAAGGCGACGAUCAGUAGCCGGACUGAGAGGUUGAACGGCCACAUUGGGACUGAGAUACGGCCCAG